RNAcentral lists this long non-coding RNA (577 nucleotides) under Columba livia (rock pigeon). Its description in RNAcentral is "partial uncharacterized LOC102098149". Lineage: Eukaryota; Metazoa; Chordata; Aves; Columbiformes; Columbidae. The record is from RNAcentral.
AUGUGGGUGGUGUGUGGGAUGUAUAGGGCCCGUGUGUGGGAUGUACAGAGCCCAUAGGUUGUGUCCAUAGGGGCCGGCGGAGCAGGGGGUGGUCGUUGCCAUCCUGCGGGCGCUGUUGGGGGACAACGGGGACCCCCCCGGGCCCUGCGCCCCCAGCCCAAGCGGCCUGGCCAGCGUGUCCCGCGCCCUGAACACCUACAGCCGCUUCUGGAGCUGCCUGCGCUGCGCCGAGCCCCAGGAGGAGAAGGAGGAGGACGAGGAGGAUGAGGAAGGUUUGGGGGGCCCGGAGGAAGACGAGGAGCCCCCGGGGACCCCCCUCUAGGAUGAGGAGGAGGAGGAGGAGGAGGAGGAGCCGUCAUGGCCGCAUUCGGCCGCCAGCACCGCGCUGGUGCACGACCCCAGGAUGGAGGAGCACGUCAACCCCUGGGACAGCCACCACCCCGAGCGGCCGCAGCGCGUGCGCAGGAUCCUGGAGCGGCUGGAGGAGCUGGGGCUGGCCCAGCGCUGCCUGCGCCUGCGCGCCAGACACGCCACCCUGGCCGAGCUGCACGCCUGUCACACGUGAGACCCACGGGGA